GACGCUGAGGCACGAAAGCGCGGGUAGCAAAGAGGAUAUAGAUACCCUGGUAGUCCACGCCGUAAACGAUGAGUACUAAGUGUCGGGAUAAAACUCGGUACUGAAGUUAACACAUUAAGUACUCCGCCUGAGUAGUACGUACGCAAGUAUGAAACUUAAAGGAAUUGACGGGACUCCGCACAAGCGGUGGAUCAUGUUGUUUAAUUCGAAGAUACACGAAAAAUCUUACCAGGUCUUGACAUGCUCUGCUAAGCUAUAGAAAUAUAGUGGAGGUUAUCAGGGACACAGGUGGUGCAUGGUUGUCGUCAGUUCGGGUCGUGAGAUGUUAGGUUAAGUCCUAAAAGUAGCGCAACCGUUGUCGUUAGUUACCAGCACGAAAUGGUGGGCACUUUAACGAGACUGCCAAUUAAACAUUGAAGGAAGGUGAGGAUUACGUCAAAUCAUCAUGCCCCUUAUGAUCUGGGCUACAUACGAGAUACAAUGUCUGUCACAAAGGAAGGCUUAAGGAGUUUUUAGCCAAUCUCAAAAAAGCAGUCUCAGUUCGGAUUGAA
This 551-nucleotide ribosomal RNA is filed under the name 'Phoenix dactylifera' yellowing phytoplasma. RNAcentral's name for it is "bacterial SSU rRNA". It matches the Rfam family "Bacterial small subunit ribosomal RNA", at positions 742 to 1302 of the family's 1533-position model. Lineage: Bacteria; Bacillati; Mycoplasmatota; Mollicutes; Acholeplasmatales; Acholeplasmataceae. The record is from RNAcentral.